CCCUACGGGGUGCAGCAGGCGUAAUGCGAAACACUUUCAAAGCCGAGUUGGUUUGUUUCUCCGGCGUAGUAGAUGCCAAUCUGCCCGUCUUUACUAAAGAAGUAAAAGGGCUUGUCGUCCAGGGGCUGGAAUCCAAAAGUUUCAUCGUAGCCGUACUGCUCAUUGAGCGAAACCCCAUUCACGAAUAUUUCUCCCCGGGUUAUGACUUUGGCGCCGUUACCAUCAGUUUCCAGCUCGACGUGCGCCACUUCUGCAUACCAAUCCUCACCGAUCACCCCCAUGCCGCGCAGGGGAUCUACGCGGCCACCCA
Molecule: ribosomal RNA, 310 nt
Filed under: uncultured prokaryote
Description: partial 16S ribosomal RNA
Source: RNAcentral